RNAcentral lists this ribosomal RNA (492 nucleotides) under uncultured bacterium. RNAcentral's name for it is "partial 16S ribosomal RNA". It matches the Rfam family "Bacterial small subunit ribosomal RNA", at positions 29 to 507 of the family's 1533-position model. The record is from RNAcentral.
AGUGAACGCUGGCGGUAGGCCUAACACAUGCAAGUCGAACGGCAGCACAGUAAGAGCUUGCUCUUACGGGUGGCGAGUGGCGGACGGGUGAGGAAUACAUCGGAAUCUACUUUUUCGUGGGGGAUAACGGAGGGAAACUUACGCUAAUACCGCAUACGACCUACGGGUGAAAGCAGGGGAUCUUCGGACCUUGCGCGAUUGAAUGAGCCGAUGUCGGAUUAGCUAGUUGGCGGGGUAAAGGCCCACCAAGGCGACGAUCCGUAGCUGGUCUGAGAGGAUGAUCAGCCACACUGGAACUGAGACACGGUCCAGACUCCUACGGGAGGCAGCAGUAGGGAAUAUUGGACAAUGGGCGCAAGCCUGAUCCAGCCAUACCGCGUGAGUGAAGAAGGCCUUCGGGUUGUAAAGCCCUUUUGUUGGGAAAGAAAAGCAGCAGGUGAAUACCCCGCUGUUCUGACGGUACCCAAAGAAUAAGCACCGGCUAACUACGUG